UCCCUUCCAACUCCCAGGAUUCUGUGAUUCUAUGAUGACAGAUGAUGUGCUCAUUUUUUACUGGCAUUACUCAAGACUUUACUGUGCAAACAAGAAGUGGUGCACACCCCCAAGCAAGCCCCACGGAGGCAAGAUAGGGCUGGGGCUGGUGCCAGAUAGGCUGUCUGUUGGUCUAAGUGGCAGGGAUGUGCACCUGCUAGUGAAGUUGAAAGGUAGAGAGCUUUGGAAGCAGGAGUCUCAAGAAUGGAAAGAGAGACAGAAGUAUGGAAUAGAAAAGGAUACGAGGUUCUUGGGUGUGGUGGGUGGCUGGAGAAGUUGGGGGCAGAAAGGAGAGACGGCAUUGGAGCAUGGGUUAGCGCAGCAGCACCAACAAGCUAUGCUUGUGCUUGUGCCAAGCCCCAAGUGACCCAGCAGCUGCAGCACUGUGUUGGCAGAUGGAAGUCCGUCACAGCCUUCCCACAGCCAGGGCAACUCCCCACAGCAUUCCUGCCACCUCCAACUUGAGCCGCCCUGCUGUGUCCCUAAAUGAAGGCAGUACCCAAGUAACUAAAAAGAUUCCUACUGAAACUGUAAAUCGAUGUCUGCCUUCUGAGCACUGAAGAAACACACUCACAUCCUGGGACUUAGUAAACCACAACAGACUUUUCAAAACGGUAUAUUAAUAAUGAGAUUUCUGUUUUAAACUGCCUUCUUUUCUCAACUCUUUGGCUAUUCUUUCCCAGAAGAGCAGUACUGAGCAGGCAGUAAGAUAUUCUAGACAGUUACUGUGGCAGACAAUUCAAGCCAGACUUUCCAUGGAUGCAGAUUUGUGUAGCUUCACUUGCAUCUGCUCUGCGGUGGUCACUUAUGAGCUGCAGAAAACUGCCUCCUGAAACACAACUCUUUAUUUUGCCUGAGAGGGCAAUGGCUGAGAAUCCAAAGAUCUUCUUAUCAGACUACCUUCUGUUUUUAGAAAUCCGCGUAUUUGGAUUUCUGCACAAUUCUGCCCUUAGAAAAUGUAAAUAUUUUGUUUUAGUGGCACCCUCUUAAAGAUUACUAUAUGUGUAUGUAUAUACGUAUGCAUGUGUUUGAUUAUAUCUGCAUAUAUACAAGUGUAUACACACUCCUUAACAUCCGUUCACAGACCAAAAGCAUAUCUGAGGUGUGUAGCUAUCCAGAUAUUCACAGCACUAUUUAACCUCAAGAUUUUCCCUGUAGUCUAAUGAGGUAACCUUCUUUCCUUGCUCAGCCCAUUGUCCUCUACAGCUCCCCUCCUUCCUCCUUUCCAUUCUCAUGGUAAAGUCAUUGGAAGGAUGGCCGAGCAGAGAUUUGAAUACUGAUUCCACAGACCUGUACAUUACUUGGGUUCCAAAUUCCCAGCGGUUCGAAACAAUGAUCUGUAUUUAUUUGCCUGACAAUGAAGGGGAUAAUUCAGUGCAUGACCCUGUGAAAAUUGGAUGAACAUGUUUGAAUUUGCUAUAAUAUGUGAUUAUGAUCAGACAACGUAGUCUGUCACUUUUAAUAGCCCCGAUGAGUGCAAAAGAACACAGGUGUUCACACAAACUUGUUAUAUAAUUGUGCAGAGGUUUUGAUAGGGCUAAAAAUGUAGGAGAGAAUAGAACUAUAUUUCUAG
This is a long non-coding RNA of Gallus gallus (chicken), 1612 nucleotides long. The record is from Ensembl. NCBI's taxonomy places the organism in Eukaryota, Metazoa, Chordata, Aves, Galliformes, Phasianidae.